GUCCCUCCGUUUUAGCUGCCGCCGCGGCGGCCGCCGAGCGCGCUCUUUCCGCCCCCUUCUCGCGCGUGAGCGCGCCCUAUCGGCUCCUGGCGCGUCAACAUUCCGCGGGCCAGGCCUUGGGGCGCGUCUGAGGAGGGGGAUGUCUGUGGCCUCUCCGCCCACACUUCCUCCACCCACCGCCCACAGCGCCCCAGAAGGACCUAUUACUCGUUUGGCUUCUGAAGGCCGAAGCCAGGCUCUGGCGGGGAUAGAACCCUGAAGGGCCUGCGCCAGCUCCAACUUAGGGCCCUGUGCGUCGUUGCGACUUCUGCUACCACCCUAUCACGCGGCACCCCCGCCCCAACUCCGCCCGGGUCUCUGAAGAGGCAAUAGGCCUUUCAUCUCCGGGGAAAGUCUCACCUUGGCCCUCAGACACCCGCCAAGAGGGGUCGGAAGGACAGAAUUAGCAUAGAGAAGAGUGGCUAGAGCACUUUUCAGGCUCUGGCCCCAGGAAUCCUUGACAGGAAGCGUGGGGUUGCUGCCCAGCCUCCCACGCAGUGUAAUAUGUUGAAGCCGGGCCCCUUUGAGGGAAUGCGACUUCCUUGGGCCGAGGGGGAAAGGUAUCUUUUGCUGCCUCUUACGUAUUGUAGGCAGUGCCUGAUGGCUGAGAAGAAUCGCAGAGGACUAGAAAAGGUUUGAGUCUGAAAUUAUCUGGCACAGAGGAUUAAAGCUCAGAAAUAAGUGAUUGCGAAACAGUUCAACUUCCCUGUUAAUGACAACAACAACAGCAACACGCUUAUUAAUUCCUAGCUGGAGCAUCAAGCUUAUGAAGAUUUCCAAGACUUUAUUGUUGACCCUUGUUGAAGAGAACUCUACUUGGCUUCUUUCCUGGCUUUCCUAAAUUGUUCACAUACAAGAUAAACUACCGUCAUUCAGACUUACAGAAGUGAGAAGACAAGCUGAACCAAAUGUAAAAUGGUAGCAAUUUACAGAUGUCAGAACUAACAUGUGGAUGAACUUAGAGAUGGAGAAGAAAGCUGGGCUUUUCCAAAGAGUGGAUCUAUCUGAACUGGAUAGCACUAUUGAACUUUGUUGCAUAUUUUGUGGUAGCUCUAAAACUCCUCUGCUUGCUUACAUACAACCAGACACCAGUGCCUUCUGAAGCUAAUCCAGGCCAUUUUUAUAACCUAAUGCAGUAGCACUUUGCAAUUAGAUGAAGAAGAUCGGUGGGAUUUCUUUCUGUGGUGAUUAAAAUGUGUCAGGGGAAGAAAUCAAGACAAUACUCCAAGUGAAAAAUAUAAAGUCAGUUAUUUCUUUAAUAUUUUGUGUUAUAGUAAUCAUUUUUAUAUUUUGAGCAUACUUUUUCUUGUCUACUUAAAUACUCAAAAUUAAUUAUAAAAUGUAAAUGUAAGCACAAUGAGAUACCAUCUCAUCCCAGUUAAAAUGGCUUUUAUCAAAAAGAUAGGGAAUAAUGAAUACUGGUGGAAGGAUGUGGAGAAUGGGGAACCCUCGUACACUGUCAAUGAGAAUGUAAAUUAGUACAGCCACUAUGGAAAACUGUAUGGAAGUGCCUCCGAAAACAAAGUAGAACUACCAUGUGAUCCAGCAAUUACACUAGUGGGUAUAUAUUCAAAAGAAAGGAAAUCAACAUAUUAAAGAGAUAGCUGCAUUCUCAUGUUUAUUGAAGUCCUGUUGAAAUAGCCAAAAUAUGGAAUCAACCUAAGUGCCCAUCAGUGGAUGAAUGGUUAAAGAAAAUGUGAUUGAUAUGCAAUGGAAUAUUAUUCAGCCAUAAAAAAGAAUGAAAUCCUGGCGGGGCACAGUGGCUCAUGCAAGUAAUCCCAGCACUGACCUCAUGAAGACAGAGAGUAGAUUGGUGGUUACCAGAGGUUGAGAAGGGGAGAGGAGAGGAGGGAUGAAGAGAGGUUGAUUGAUGGAUAGAAAUAUACAGUUUGAUAAUGAUAAAUCAGUAGGGUGACUAUAGUUUAUAAUAACCUAUUGUAUGGUUCAAAAUAGCUAAAAGAGAAUAAUUGAAAUAACGUAAGACAAAAAUUUAAGAUGAUAGAUAUCCCAAUUACACUGAUUUGAUCUUUACAAAUUAUAUGAAUGUAUUAAAUUAUUACAUGUAUCCCCAAAAUAUGUACAAGUAUUUUGUAUCAAUAAAAAAUAAAAUUUAAGAUAAAGUAAAUGUAAUGAUUAGCUUAUAUUUCCUAGAUCGGAAAUAAAUAUUUACUUAAGUAUGUUUAUGAUGAAGAGUUUUUUUAUAUUACUAUAAAAAUAGACACCUUACAUAAACAUAUUACAGUUGGUGUUUAGAUGGCUCUUUUUUUUCUGGCCUUGAAUUUCUGGAAAGUAGGUAUGGCCUGCUAUGUCAGGACUAGUUCUUGGAAUUCUUUGUUGU
This 2377-nucleotide long non-coding RNA is filed under the name Homo sapiens (human). RNAcentral's name for it is "non-protein coding MALINC1:68". The record is from RNAcentral. Lineage: Eukaryota; Metazoa; Chordata; Mammalia; Primates; Hominidae.